This 953-nucleotide ribosomal RNA is filed under the name uncultured rumen bacterium. RNAcentral describes it as "bacterial SSU rRNA". It matches the Rfam family "Bacterial small subunit ribosomal RNA", at positions 8 to 954 of the family's 1533-position model. The record is from RNAcentral.
AGAGUUUGAUCCUGGCUCAGGAUGAACGCUAGCUACAGGCUUAACACAUGCAAGUCGAGGGGCAGCAUGAAUCAAGCUUGCUUGAUUCGAUGGCGACCGGCGCACGGGUGCGUAACGCGUAUCCAAUCUACCCAUGGCUCAGGGAUAGCCUUGCGAAAGUAAGAUUAAUACCUGAUGGUCUCGCUUGGGGACAUCCCCUUGCGAGUAAAGAUUCAUCGGCGAUGGAUGGGGAUGCGUCCGAUUAGCUUGUUGGCGGGGUAACGGCCCACCAAGGCAACGAUCGGUAGGGGUUCUGAGAGGAAGGUCCCCCACACUGGAACUGAGACACGGUCCAGACUCCUACGGGAGGCAGCAGUGAGGAAUAUUGGUCAACGGUCGAGAGACUGAACCAGCCAAGUAGCGUGAGGGAUGACUGCCCUAUGGGUUGUAAACCUCUUUUGUUUGGGAAUAAAGUGCGGUACGCGUACCGCUUUGUAUGUACCUUACGAAUAAGCAUCGGCUAAUUCCGUGCCAGCAGCCGCGGUAAUACGGAAGAUGCGGGCGUUAUCCGGAUUUAUUGGGUUUAAAGGGAGCGUAGGCGGGCUUUUAAGCCAGCGGUCAAAUGUCGGCGCCCAACGCCGGAAAGCCGUUGGAACUGGGAGUCUUGAAUGCGGUCAAGGGAGGUGGAACUCGCCAUGUAGCGGUGAAAUGCUUAGAUAUGGCGAAGAACCCCGAUUGCGAAGGCAGCCUCCUGGCCCGUGAUUGACGCUGAGGCUCGAAAGCGCGGGUAUCGAACAGGAUUAGAUACCCUGGUAGUCCGCGCCGUAAACGAUGGGUACUCGUCUUUGGCGAUACAUUGUCAGAGACUGAGCGAAAGCAUUAAGUAUCCCACCUGGGGAGUACGCCGGCAACGGUGAAACUCAAAGGAAUUGACGGGGGCCCGCACAAGCGGAGGAACAUGUGGUUUAAUUCGA